Molecule: ribosomal RNA, 1979 nt
Filed under: human gut metagenome
Description: bacterial LSU rRNA
Rfam family: Bacterial large subunit ribosomal RNA
Source: RNAcentral
UUAAAUUAAUAAGGGCGUACGUGUGGAUCACUUGGCACUAGAAGCUGAUGAAGGACGUGACAAACUACGAAAUGCCUCGGGGAGCUGUAAGUAAGCUUCGAUCCGGGGAUAUCCGAAUGGGGAAACCCACUUGCGGUCAUGCGCAAGUAUCAUUUAGUGAACACAUAGCUAAACUGAGAGCAACCCGCUGAACUGAAACAUCUUAGUAAGCGGAGGAAAAGAAAGAAAAAUCGAUUUCCCAAGUAGUGGCGAGCGAAAAGGAAAUAGCCCAAACCAGUCUAUGGACUGGGGUUGUAGGACCAUUAUAUAAGAGUUACAAAACUAUAUUAUAGUUGAAUUAGCUGGGAAGCUAAACCGUAGGAAGUGAUAGUCUUGUAAACGAAAUGAUAUAGACUCUUUAUGGUAUCCUGAGUACGGCGGAACACGUGGAAUUCCGUCGGAAUCAGCGGGGACCAUCCCGCAAGGCUAAAUACUCUCUAGUGACCGAUAGUGAACAAGUACCGUGAGGGAAAGUUGAAAAGAACCCCGGGAGGGGAGUGAAAUAGACAGUGAAACCGUAUGCUUACAAAAAGUUAGAGCCCGUUAAUGGGUGAUAGCGUGCCUUUUGCAGAAUGAACCGGCGAGUUAUUGUAUUAUGCAAGGUUAAGUUGAAUAGACGGAGCCGAAGCGAAAGCGAGUCUUAAUAGGGCGAUGAGUAUGAUGUAAUAGACCCGAAACCGAGUGAUCUAGCCAUGAGCAGGUUGAAGGUAAGGUAACACUUACUGGAGGACCGAACCGACGUACCCGGAAACGUGCGCGGAUGACUUGUGGCUAGCGGAGAAAUUCCAAUCGAACUCGGAUAUAGCUGGUUCUCCCCGAAAUAGGUUUACGCCUAGCCUCGUGGUAAAGCUUCUUGGAGGUAGAGCACUGAAUAGACGAUGGCGUCGUAUAGAUGUACUGAAUUUAAUCAAACUCCGAAUGCCAGGAAAGUAUACACGGGAGUCAGUGUAUGGGUGAUAACGUCCAUACGCGAGAGGAAAACAAUCCAGACCACCAGCUAAGGUCCCAAAUUUCAUGUUAAGUGGGAAAGGAUGUGGAGUUGUCUAAACAGCUAGGAGGUUGGCUUAGAAGCAGCCAUCCUUUAAAGAGUGCGUAAUAGCUCACUAGUCGAAUGACACUGCGCCGAAAAUGUACCGGGGCUAAACAUGAAACCGAAGCUGUGGAUUUUAUAGAUAAUAUAAAAUGGUAGGGGAGCGUUCUAAUUGCGACGAAGAUGGAUCGUGAGGACUGUUGGAGCGAUUAGAAGUGAGAAUGCCGGUGUGAGUAGCGCAAGAAGGGUGAGAAUCCCUUCCACCGUUUGCCUAAGGGUUCCUGGGGAAGGUUCGUCCUCCCAGGGUAAGUCGGGUCCUAAGACGAGGCCGAAAGGCGUAGCCGAUGGACAACAGGUUGAUAUUCCUGUACCACCUAUAUAACUGAUGGAGUGACGAAGGAGGCUAUAGAAAGCCAGUUAAUGGAUUCUGGUCUAAGCACAAAGGUGUACAUAUAGGCAAAUCCGUAUGUAAUGUAGCUGAAGUGUUAUGGUGAAGGUAAUAGCGAUAUUACUGAAAUUUCUAGACGCCAAACUUCCAAGAAAAGCUUCUAGGGUUAAUUAUAUAGGUGCCCGUACCCAGAACCGACACAGGUAGGCAAGGAGAGUAUCCUAAGGUGAGCGAGAGAACUAUGGUUAAGGAACUCGGCAAAAUGACCCCGUAACUUCGGGAGAAGGGGUGGUCUAGCGAUAGACCCGCAGUAAAGAGUCCCAGGCAACUGUUUACCAAAAACACAGCUCUCUGCUAAAUCGAAAGAUGAUGUAUAGGGGGUGACACUUGCCCAGUGCUGGAAGGUUAAGAGGAGAGGUUAGUAAUGACUUCGGUUAUAUUUACGAAGCUUCGAAUUGAAGCCCCAGUGAACGGCGGCCGUAACUAUAACGGUCCUAAGGUAGCGAAAUUCCUUGUCAGGUA